Molecule: RNase P RNA, 366 nt
Filed under: Crenotrichaceae bacterium
Lineage: Bacteria; Pseudomonadati; Pseudomonadota; Gammaproteobacteria; Methylococcales; Crenotrichaceae
Description: RNase P RNA component class A
Rfam family: Bacterial RNase P class A
About the family: Ribonuclease P (RNase P) is a ubiquitous endoribonuclease, found in archaea, bacteria and eukarya as well as chloroplasts and mitochondria. Its best characterised activity is the generation of mature 5'-ends of tRNAs by cleaving the 5'-leader elements of precursor-tRNAs.
Source: RNAcentral
AGAGUUGGUUAAGCAGCCGCUGCUCACCGAGAAUGGUGGGUGGAGGAAAGUCCGGGCUCCACAGGGCAGGGUGCCAGGUAACACCUGGAAGAUGUGAGUCUAUGGAAAGUGCCACAGAAAAUAUACCGCUUCUUACAUUAGUGAGAGGUAAGGGUGAAAUGGUGCGGUAAGAGCGCACCGCGCUAUUGGUAACAGUAGUGGCAGGGUAAACCCCAUCCGGAGCAAGACCAAAUAGGGGAACAGUGGCUUAAGUCACGGGUGCUGCCCGCACAAGUUCCCGGGUAGGUCGCUUGAGGUGUAUGGUAACGUGCAUCCCAGACGAAUGGCUGCUCAAGACAGAACCCGGCUUAUCGACCAGCUCUUUCA